Molecule: long non-coding RNA, 857 nt
Organism: Xenopus laevis (African clawed frog)
Lineage: Eukaryota; Metazoa; Chordata; Amphibia; Anura; Pipidae
Exons: 4
Source: RefSeq, a predicted model, not a curated record
CGAGUUUGUUUUAAUUAAUGUUUAAUAUGAUAUUUCCUGUUUUAAUGUUACAGAAUUACUGUACCUACCUACUAAGUAUUUUUGAAAUUUGCGUUCCAUUUUGCUAGCUGUUUAUAUCAUACUGUUGCAUUUUAAAAUUAGUUUUUGACAGAAAUAAAAUGUUGUGCUUUACCAAGCAUGCGGCGGACCUAAGUGAUUGAUGACGAAUCUGAUUACUUCUCCAUGGACUCAAACCAGUGGUUGUCUCAGGCAGAAAGAGAAACUUUGUAAAAGAAGGAACAGGAGUCACAGGAAUUGCAUCAUGCCUCUCACCUUUCUCGUAAAUUCACAAUUGAUUUUUGAGGAAGGUCUUUGAGGAGGGAGGAGAUCUUACAGAGUACCAUAAGUGGUUAGAUGAGACUGUCCAUUCAAUCAACUCUGGAACCGUGGUGUCUCCUUCAGGGAGUUCUACAGAAAGAUCCAACAUUCCAUCUUUGAUAAAUCCGAGUCUACUACAGCCUCCACCAGUGUGGGUGGAUCAGAUUAGUGCAGGCUCAAACAAGAUUCGUGUGAUUCUCUAAUUGUUACUUGUCUUACUCCAGGACUAAGUAUGAAAAUACAGAAGGGAAGCUGGACUCCAAAAUCCACCAGGGAGCCAAAAAAGGAUUAAUGGCCAGACAAGAGCUAGCUAGAUAAACCAAAGAAGAUGCCAAGCAAAGAUCACCCGAAUAUGUUGAUGAGGAGCCAUGAUUAAUGCUUGUCAUCCAAAACAAGGACAACAAACUUUGUUAGCAAUAUUAUGGAUAAUUGACUGUUACAAUAAACCACACUGUGCUGUGGAAUUCAUUGUCGAAUUCAGAAGUAAAUGGUUUUUCUAA